RNAcentral lists this long non-coding RNA (654 nucleotides) under Gouania willdenowi (blunt-snouted clingfish). RNAcentral's name for it is "lncRNA (ENSGWIG00000004640.1)". Lineage: Eukaryota; Metazoa; Chordata; Actinopteri; Blenniiformes; Gobiesocidae. The record is from RNAcentral.
UUGGUUCAGGUGUAGUUGUAUAAGUAGUGGUAGUUUGUUCAGGUGUUGUGGUAGUUAUUUCGGGGGUAGUAGUUGGAUCACUGGUAGUGGUAGUAGUUGGUUCAGGUGAAGUGGCUGUUGGCACCAUGGUAGUGGAUGUAGUUUGUUCGGGUGUUGUAGUUUGUGCAGUAGUAGUAGUUGGUUCAGGUGUAGUUGUUGUAUAAGUAGUGGUAGUUUGAUCAGGUGUUGUGGUAGUUUUUUCAGGGGUAGUAGUUGGCUCACUGGUAGUGGUUGUAGUUAUAACAGUUGUAGUCAAUGUUGUUGGUUCAUCAGUAGUAGUAGUUGGUUCAGGUGUAGUUGUUGUAUAAGUAGUGGUAGUUUUUUCAGGUGUUGUGGUAGUUAUUUCAGGGGUAGUAGUUGGCUCACUGGUAGUGGUCAUAGUUAUAGCAGUUGUAGUCAAUGUUGUUGGCUCAUUAGUAGUAGUAGUUGGUUCAGGUGUAGUUGUUGUAUAAGUAGUGGUAGUUUGUUCAGGUGUUGUGGUAGUUAAUUUAGGGGUAGUAGUUAUAACAGUUGUAGUCAAUGUUGUUGGCUCAUUAGUAGUAGUAGUUGAUUCAGGUGUAGUUAAGGAUUCUGGCGUUGUUGUUGUUGAAGUUGCUGACGAUGUUGUAGUCGAGU